RNAcentral lists this long non-coding RNA (225 nucleotides) under Elaeis guineensis (African oil palm). RNAcentral's name for it is "long non-coding RNA (EGUI_LNC036687)". The record is from RNAcentral. Lineage: Eukaryota; Viridiplantae; Streptophyta; Magnoliopsida; Arecales; Arecaceae.
CUGGACGAUCCAGUUCUGUCAAAUCCUCUGCCACCUAUCGGAGUACUCCUCACUGCUCCACUGGUCACAGAGGGCCUGUCAUAUGUCUGCCUGCAUCUAGUGAUCUAUGAAGGACCUCCAGUCAGAUGGUGAUUGAGAAUCGAUGUACUGGAUGGCGGACUGUCUAAGACUGUAGAGGCUAUCUCAAAACCUCCUUGUGGCCACCUCCUUAAAGGUCCAAUAGCC